This is a long non-coding RNA of Neodiprion virginianus, 138 nucleotides long. RefSeq lists it as uncharacterized. NCBI's taxonomy places the organism in Eukaryota, Metazoa, Arthropoda, Insecta, Hymenoptera, Diprionidae. The transcript has 3 exons. The record is from RefSeq and is a predicted model, not a curated record.
CAAGGUGGACGAGGAGGACGAGGAUUUGUGCUCGGUAUAUCCUGAGGUGGUUGGCGGUCGUUGGAGAUGGCCGGAGGUGGACAAGGAGGACGAGGAUUUUUGCUCGUUCUGUGCCCCACCUAGUGAUCCACUAGUACA